UUAAGCAAAAAAGAGCACAGGGCGGAUGCCCUGGCACUGGGAGCCGAUGAAAGACGCGACAAGCUGCGAAAAGCUGCGGGGAGCGGCAGAUACGCUAAGAUCCGCAGGUGUCUGAAUGGGGAAACCCACGCAGGGAAAGCCUGCGUAUCCGUACCUGAAUCCAUAGGGUGCGGAGGGGAACCCGGCGAACUGAAACAUCUAAGUAGCCGGAGGAAAAGAAAACAAAAGUGAUUUCCAGAGUAGCGGCGAGCGGAAUGGAAAGAGCCCAAACCGGAGUGCGAGCACACCGGGGUUAGGACUGCAGAAAUGACCUGCAACUGCAGCGGAACGGUCCUGGAAAGACCGGCCGUAGAGGGUGAGAGCCCCGUAAGCGAAGCGGGAGCAGGCAUGGCAGGAUCCAGAGUACUGCGAGACACGAGAAACCUUGCAGGAAUGAGCGGGGACCACCCCGUAAGGCUAAAUACUACCCAGUGACCGAUAGAGCAGAGUACUGUGAAGGAAAGGUGAAAAGGACCCCGGGAGGGGAGUGAAAGAGAACCUGAAACCCUGUGUUUACAAGCUGUGGAAGCACCGCAGGAGUGCGACCGCGUACUUUUUGUAGAACGGUCCGGCGAGCUGCGGGGGCCGGCGAGGUUAAGCCACCAGGUGGCGGAGCCGUAGUGAAAGCGAGCGUAAAGAGCGCGCCAUAGUCGGUUCCCGCAAGCCCGAAACCGGGUGAUCUAUCCAUGUCCAGGCUGAAGCCGCUGUAAAAGGCGGUGGAGGGCCGCACCCACAUCCGUUGAAAAGGGUGGGGAUGAGGUGUGGAUAGGGGAGAAAUUCCAAUCGAACCCGGAGAUAGCUGGUUCUCCCCGAAACAGCUUUAGGGCUGGCCCCGUAUAUGCCUUGUGGAGGUAGAGCACUGAAUUUCCUAGGGGGCGUCAAAGCCUACCGAAGAAUAUCAAACUCCGAAUGCCAUGAAGGAAGAGUACGGGAGUCAGACCGCACGAGAUAAGUCGGGCGGUCAAAAGGGAAAGAGCCCAGACCCGCGGCUAAGGCCCCAGAGUGCGUGUUAAGUGGAAAAGGAUGUGGGAUUUCAAAGACAGCUAGGAUGUUGGCUCAGAAGCAGCCACACAUUCAAAGAGUGCGUAAUAGCUCACUAGCCGAGAGGUCCUGCGCCGAAAAUGUCCGGGGCUGAAACACGCCGCCGAAGCCCGGGAAUGUACAUUAUUGUACAUUGGUAGGGGAGCAUUGCCGGCGCACGGAAGCCGUACCGAAAGGGGCGGUGGAGCGCCGGGAAGAGAGAAUGCCGGAAUGAGUAGCGAGAUGGAGGUGGGAAUCCUCCAGGCCGAAUAUCCAAGGAUUCCGGGGUAAAGCUGAUCUGCCCCGGGUAAGUCGGGACCUAAGGCGAGGCCGGAAGGCGUAGCCGAUGGACAACAGGUGGAGAUUCCUGUACUGCGCCAUGACAGAACUGUGGGGACGCAUGUGGAAAGAGGCAGCCGGGAAAGGGAAGACCGGUACAAGCGCAGGAGGAGGCGUGCAGGAAAAGCCGCACGCCGAUCCAGUGGCGUGACGUGGAGCGGAAAGAAGUAGCGAAGGCCGCGGACCAUGUGCCAGGAAAAGCCGCUAUCGUUCAUGGGGCACCCGUACCGUAAACCGACACAGGUGGAUGGGGAGAGGAUCCCAAGGCCGGCGGGAGAAGCAUUGCCAAGGAACUCGGCAAAAUGGCCCCGUAACUUCGGGAGAAGGGGCGCCUGCCUAAAAGCAGGCCGCAGAGAAAAGGCUCAAGCAACUGUUUAGCAAAAACACAGGUCUAUGCAAAACCGGAAGGUGAAGUAUAUGGGCUGACGCCUGCCCGGUGCUGGAAGGUUAAGAGGAGGGGUCAGGAAACGAAGCCCUGAAUCCAAGCCCCAGUAAACGGCGGCCGUAACUAUAACGGUCCUAAGGUAGCGAAAUUCCUUGUCGGGU
This 1944-nucleotide ribosomal RNA is filed under the name Lachnospiraceae bacterium. Its description in RNAcentral is "partial 23S ribosomal RNA". It matches the Rfam family "Bacterial large subunit ribosomal RNA", at positions 3 to 1977 of the family's 2925-position model. The record is from RNAcentral. Lineage: Bacteria; Bacillati; Bacillota; Clostridia; Lachnospirales; Lachnospiraceae.